Molecule: ribosomal RNA, 506 nt
Filed under: uncultured bacterium
Lineage: Bacteria
Description: partial 16S ribosomal RNA
Rfam family: Bacterial small subunit ribosomal RNA
Source: RNAcentral
AGUGAACGCUGGCGGUAGGCCUAACACAUGCAAGUCGAACGGCAGCACAGGAGAGCUUGCUCUCUGGGUGGCGAGUGGCGGACGGGUGAGGAAUACAUCGGAAUCUACUUUUUCGUGGGGGAUAACGUAGGGAAACUUACGCUAAUACCGCAUACGACCUACGGGUGAAAGCAGGGGACCUUCGGGCCUUGCGCGAUUGAAUGAGCUGAUGGCGGAUUAGCUAGUUGGCGGGGUAAAGGCCCACCAAGGCGACGAUCCGUAGCUGGUCUGAGAGGAUGAUCAGCCACACUGGAACUGAGACACGGUCCAGACUCCUACGGGAGGCAGCAGUGGGGAAUAUUGGACAAUGGGCGCAAGCCUGAUCCAGCCAUAGCGCGUGGGUGAAGAAGGCCUUCGGGUUGUAAAGCCCUUUUGUUGGGAAAGAAAUCCAGCUGGCUAAUACCCGGUUGGGAUGACGGUACCCAAAGAAUAAGCACCGGCUAACCUCGUGCCAGCCGCCGCAGUAA